Non-coding RNA from Rattus norvegicus (Norway rat), 7098 nucleotides. NCBI's taxonomy places the organism in Eukaryota, Metazoa, Chordata, Mammalia, Rodentia, Muridae. The record is from RefSeq and is a predicted model, not a curated record.
GGGAAGGGAAGGGAAGGAAAGGAAAGGAAAGGAAAGAAGGAAAGGAGAAAGGAAAGGAGAAAGGAAAGGAGAAAGGAAAGGAGAAAGGAAAGGAGAAAGGAAAGGAGAAAGGAAAGGAGAAAGGAAAGGAGAAAGGAAAGGAGAAAGGAAAGGAGAAAGGAAAGGAGAAAGGAAAGGAGAAAAGGAAAGAAAAGAAAAAAGAAAAGAAAAGAAAAGAAGAAAAGAAAAGAAGAAAAGAAAAUGUACUUCUGAGAACUGGCCAGUAGAGGGAGCUUGUAAGAAAACAUUUCUGUCUAGGAGCUGGAAAAUUCCCACCGAGGAGACUCCGUGACUUUAAUUAUUGUAAUUAAUGGUAAAUUCAAGCAGACUUCCACGGGACACAAACCAGGACAGCCACAAAUCGACGGAGGUGCCAAGUGCAGGAAGCACAAUGGAGAACCUUCCCAAAACGCUAUUCAAGCUUAGGGUUCCCCACCUCGUUCCCCUUACAUAAUUCAAAAAUCUGUGGGAUUUAGGACGUGCAAUGUUUAGGCUCUUCAGAGUGAUCUAGGCUUCCUGAAAAAUUAUUCCCAAGUAGAAAGACACUGUUGGCUGGGAGUUGUGAAGAAGCUGCUGUUCUCUAGCUUUUAGCUUUCUUGCAACUUGAAGACAGGUAGCAAGAACGUGGUGUCAAUGGGUGAAGCUGUAUUCUAAGGAAAACACAGAAACUGAAAUUUGAAUGCCAAGUAAUUUCCAUAUGUCAAAACUUCUCUUUAAUACAUAUUUUUAAUUCUAUCUAUCUAUCUAUCUAUCUAUCUAUCUAUCUAUCUAUCUAUCUAUGUUAUUAUUGCACACAGGCUUUCUCUGUGUAGCCCUGGGUGGCCUAGAGCUCACUCUGUAGACCAGGCUGUCCUCGAACUCAGAGAUCUGAGUACCUAUGGCCCCUUGGGCACUGGCAUAAAGGCAUGUACCACCAUUGCCCUGUUCUUUUGAUAAUUUUUAGUCAUUAAAGUAAAAGCAUUCUUAGCUUGUAUACUACAAACACCAGGUGAACUUGGAUAUGGCUUUGGUUUGUAAACUCCUGGCCUAAGCCAACACUUAGCCCAACCUCCGAACUUCAUCUGUAAGGUCUGUGUUUCUCUUCAAGCAUACCUGUAUAAAUAUUCUCUUCCUGGGCCCAUGGAGAGAUAGGCACCUCAAAAACAAACAAGCAAACAAACAAACAAACAAACGAUACCCCCAAAACAACAACAACAAUAAAUUUAACAAACAAAUAAAAAUCAAAUAAACAAACAAAAAAACCCCCACAUUUCUUUGAGUACUCUAGAAAGAGAGGCAGAUGGAUCUUUGUGAGUUGGAGGCCAGCCUGUCUACAUAGUGAGUUCCAGGACAGUUAGGGCUGUGUAGAGAGAUCCUGUCUCAAAGAACAAAACAAAGGAUCAAAAAGAAAAAAAAUCUCUUUAAGGUACCACUGUGUAUGGCUGAGCAGAGAUAGCUGUAAGAAACUAGAGCUGAGGAGCGGGAGAGAUGACUCAUUGCUCCUUCAGAAGAGCUAGGGUUCAGCUCCCAGUACCCGUGUGGCAACACACAACCCUUUGUAACUCCAGUUCCAAGGAGAUCUGACACACGCUUCUGGCGUCUGCAAACACUGCAUACACAUGAUUCACACUCGUAUGUGCAGGCAAAACACUCAUGUAUAGAGUUUGAGUAAAUGAAAACUGGGACCCAGGUCGGGAUUAAUAGAACUGUGAUUCUCAGAGAAGGCAGAGAUAACUGCUACCCUGGCAUGAAUAGCGACUGUAGGAUGUGCUUCUGGUGUGACAGGCCCUCUGGUGUCCUGGUGCAGAACUAAGGGAGGAAGAGAAGAUACUGUUUGAGGCACUGGGAUUUGAACCCAAACCAAGCCUUACUGAUGGAGGUUUUAUGCGAGUGACUCAACAUCCCUAGCUCAUUUCUCACACUGCAAGGGAAGACACUCCUAUGAGGCUUUAUGGAGGCUGUCAAGAACUCAAAGCAUAGUAUAGGUACAUUAGAAACUUUCACUCUAAGUACCUGACAGAAACCAUGGAAAGCAGGAAGGACCUAUUUCUGCUCAUGGCUGCAGAAAAUGGAGCCCAUAGUAUGCUAUGUUGGUUCUGCGGCCAGCUAGAGGAAGCACGUUCCAGCAGUUUCUUGCUUCUUGGUGGGCAGGAAGCAGAAAGCCAGUCUAGAUAGAAACAGGUAUAGCCUUCAAAGACAGACUUCCCCGCUCCACCGGUUUUCCAGUUUUCCAAAGUGCUGUCACUUAAUAGGGACCAACUGUUCAACCAUGAGUCUGUUGGGGUAUUUCAUAUUAAAGUCUUCAAUUAGGCACUUAAUUCAUGCUAAAUUUUAGUAUCAGGAGAUGGAGGGAUACCCCCAAGAAAUGCCCAUGUAUGAGAACCAGGAGAGGAGCUGUGGAUUAGAACAAAACCAGAAGCUCUUAAGAUAGAGAGUAUACCAAGUACCGGCUCUCUCUCUCUCUCUCUCUCUCUCUCUCUCUCUCUCUCUCUCUCUCUCUCCCUUUCUCUCACUCUGCCUGUCUGUCUCUCUCUGUCUCUCUGUCUCUGUCUCUCUGUCUCUGUCUCUCUGUCUCUGUCUCUCUCAAAUCUCUGUCUCUCUCUCCUUCCCUCCCUCCCUCCCUCCCUCCUUCUCUCUGGUUUAUAACUGGAGGGGAAAUCCUAGGUUUUAAUUCAAAACAGUCCAGGUAGGAGUGCCUAACCUUUGAUGGCGACAGCCCCAUUGUCAACUAUAAACAUCACACAUAACUAUGCAGUUUGCUUGCAAACAGGUAAAUCAUAAAAAUCCUUACAGUGCUUUAAGCGAGCUUGUCAUUUUGUGUUGAGCCUUAGUCAUCACUCUCCUUGAGGGCAUGAGGCCCACGGGGCCAUGGGUUGUACAUGCAUGGCUUCCGGAUUGCCUAGUUCUGACUGUGGGAGCUUUGUCCUUGCCUUUAAGCUAUUCGCCAGCCUCUGAUGUAGGCCACUGAUGACGAGGUGAAACGGCUCUUGCUCUAACUGUACAACUGAAUUCUGCCCCCAAAGAAGCUCGGCUGAUUGUUUCCUCUUUCUGAACAAAGCCAGGUUUGCAUCCCUUUGCAGAUUUAUCAGUAUUCCAAACCCAUGAAUGUCUUGGCCUUCGGACUUCCAUUUUGAACUCAUUAUAAUAUCUGAUUGAUUCGCUUAUUAAUAAUGAGUUAAAUAAAAUCUUUGAUAUGUGUUCUUUCAACACUUUUAUGUCAGUCAUGAUUUUUUUUUUUUGGCAUGGAAAAUUAGCCCUUAAUUUCCUGCUUGAUUAUGAACUCGAAAUCAGAAAUGUUUUUCCUAGAAAGCCUUUAACGGCAUCUUAGGAGACAGUCCGUUUCCCUCUUUCUCCUUUAAUCAUCUUCUCUUUUAGCUGGGCAUAAUGGUGCGUUGCCUUUAAUCCCAGCAGCACUCAGGAGGCAGAGGCACAGGGAUCUCUGUGAGUUCAGGGCAGCCAGAGCUACACAGUGAGAUCCUGUGUCUUAGUUUGGGUUUUAUUGCUUUGGAGAGACACCAUGACCAUGAAAACGCCUAUAGAGGGGAACAUUUCGUUGGGACUGGCUUACAGUUCCAGGUAAUCAUAAUGAGUCUAUUAUCAUCUGAGUGGGACACAUGGCAGCAUCCAGGAGGUGCUAGUGGAGCUGAGAGGUCGCCAUCUUGACCCACGGGACACAGAAGGGGACUGUGUGUCACGAUGGGCAUAGCUUGACUAUAGAAGACCUCAAGGCCUUCCUCCACAGUGACAUAUUUUCUCCAACAAGGUGACAACUACUCCAAGAAGGCCAUACCUCCUAAUGGUGCCACUCCCUAUCGCCAAGCAUUCAAACACAUGAGUCUAUGGAGUUUGAAGUCAUAACAUAAUGCAAAAUGCAUUUAGUCCAACUUCAAAAGUCCCCAUAGUCUAUCACAGUCUCAACAAUGUUUAAAGGUCCAAAGUUCAAAGUCUCUUCUGGGAUCCAUGCAAUCUCUUAAAUGUAGUCCCCUAUAAAGUCAAAAUAGAGACAGAUCACAGCCUUCCAACAUAGAAUGGCACAUUCCAGAGGUAGGGAAAGGAGCAUAGUGAAGAAACACUGGAGCAAGGCAAGAGUAAAACAUCGGCUGGCAAACUCCAAACUCUUUUAUCUCCUUGGCUGAUGUCAAAGUGCUCUUUAGAUCUCCGACUCUUUUCAGCUUUGUUGACUACACACCUCUCUCUCUUUUCUGGUUCCACCCCCCUGUUAGCAGCUUUCCUUGUUAAGUAUCCCAUGGCUCUGGCAUCUCUCAUCUCUUGGGGUCUCCAAAGCCAUCCAGGUUUCACCUUCACAGCCUCACUCCAUACAGAGGGACCCCACACAGGGAUAACCAUGCAUGCCUGGCCUUGGUGACUGUCCUUAGUUUCAGAAGGAGAUUCCACAACCCCUUUCUUCUAUCCUUGACUUUCAAGCAAGAACCACGUGGCCGAAGCUGCCAAGUUCUGCUACUUGCUGGGGCUGGAACACGGCCCCCCCAUUCAAUUACAUCUCCAGCCAAAAUAUGACAAGAAUGAUCUCUGGGCAACAAACUAAAAUUCUUCACCCCUGAAACUUCUUGAGCCAGGUCCCCGCAGUUCAAAUCACCCUCAGGACAGCUUUCUUCCAUGCUUCUGCUCCUUUCCAAAUCCAAAAUCCCAAAAUUCACAUUCCUUCAAAACAAAAGCCUGGCCAGGCCCGUCAUGGCAAUACCCUAGUUCCUGGUACCAACUUCUGUCUUACGGUUUUAUUGGUGUGAAGCAACACCAUCCUAUAAAGGAAAACACUGAACUGAGGCUGGCUUACAGAGUCAGAGGUUUAGUCCAUUAUCAUCACAGCAGGAAUCAUGGCAGCAUCCGAUAGGAAGAUAUGGUGCUAGAGGAGUUGAGAGUUCUGCAUCUUGAUCUGCAGGAUGCAGAAGCCUGUUCCAGACUGGGCAUAGCUUGAGCAUAGGAGACCUCAAAGCCCACCUUCAUAGGGACACACUUCAUCCAACAGGGACACACCCACUCCAACAAGGCCACACCCACUCCAACAAGGCCACACCCACUCCAACAAGGCCAUGACUCCCAAACAUACCACUCCUUGUGGACCAUGCCUUAAAACACACCAGUCUAAGGUGGCCAUACCUAUUCAAACCACCACAUUCUAGCUUGUUUUUUUUUUUAAAUCUUCUCUUUCUACUUAUAUCUGCUUGUGACUCUUCCUCCGAACAGUUCAAGUACUUUGAAUGAUGCUUAAAUUUCCAUCCACAAAAGAGAGCCAGAUGAGACAGCAUUCCCCGAAUAGCAAUCAGCUCUCCUCGACUUUCAUGUUUCUUUCAUGUUUAAAAAUUCCUGACCGUGGGGUUGGGGAUUUAGCUCAGUGGUAGAGCGCUUGCCUAGAAAGCGCAAGGCCCUGGGUUCGGUUCUCAGCUCCGAAAAAAAGAAAAGAAAAAAAAAAUUCCUGACCGCCAGUGAUUAGGACUUUGGUUUAUGUGAAUUGUAUCUAUCUAUCACCACUCACCAAAUUAGAGACUAAACCAAUAUAUUUUGAAAUAUUUGUGUUUACCAGGCAGGAUGACUCACACCUGUAAUGCUAACCCUUAGCUGAAGUGAGCAGAUAAUAGCCAUGAACGCGAAGUCGGUCUUAGCUACAUAGCAGGCUAUAAGGUGAGACUUAAAAACAUACAUACAGUAAAUGAACAUAAAUUGCGUUGCGUUAAUUCAUUGAAAAUAACAACAGCAAACCAUUUCAUGUUAGCAAUUUUUUAAUAUAAAAGAUUACACUUUCCAGGACAAAGCUAUGCUAAGAAGAUGGACCUCAUUACCCUGUAGCUUCUCAAACUUCUCACUCUGUGAGGUGAUGAAAGGAAAAGUAACACUCAAGGACUAUUACUAAUUCAUCCUCUACCUUGGAGAUCCCCCAGAGGGGCCUCUGGGACCCGAUAGAGCUCCUGGAGCACUCUGUGAGAACUGACAUUAUAAAAUAAACUCGAACCUCCUACAGAUGGGGCCAGUGGCAUUUCGGUGGUGGAUGUGCCGGUGCACUGUGCUAGUCUCCAUCUGAGAAUGCCGGUUUGCUUUCGCAAGCUUUCUGGGACAGCUUUUCCUUGUAUGUGCGCAUGCGGAGGAAUGCAUGCAUGCGCAGCAGCAUCUGUUGAUCUGUGCUGUGCUUCAGAUCCAAGUUUGCGUGGGCUUUCACGUGUUCUUGGCAUUUGGACCGAAAAGGGAUGGAGAUUGGGGUAGAAAUGAACACCCCUUGUCUUAGCUUUCUCUGAGGUUCCGAUGAGGAUUACAGCUAUAUGGGUAAAAUUCUAGUCUUGCUUUUCUUCCAAAACUUUGUUCCAAUCAUGGCUGGAGGCAAAAAAAGUCCCAGAAACCUCCAUUGCCAGUGGUAUGUCUCUGCUUCUGACCCACUGACAGUUGCUGGGCUUAGUUGACACAGCAUCUGUUAGAACAGCAGUUGGAAAAGGAAGAAUUCUUUCUCCCCUUCUGAAAGUCUUAAAGAAAUAAUCACACCUUGAACCAUCCCUGAUGUAAUCAAUAUUGAUUCUCCUGACACAGGCUCCAUGAGACCAAGAAAUAUUCUCUGUGCCAGGUAAACCUGACAGCUUCUGCCGACACUGUCUAGGCACCACGUCAACUCAGUGAAGAGGGGGUUUAAAUGUUGACUUACAACGCUGAAGUCUUCAUGCCAGAGAGUUACAUUGUCAAAUUUUGAAUACAAGGAUAAAAUAUGCCCAGUUGUCUGGGGUUGGAAAGCAAGCUACCAUUGCUACAGAAUAGCAUAUGACAGGACUCUCUGCUGUGACAGAAAUAUUCCGGAUCUGUUUCAUUCACUAUGGUAACUGCUGGCUGAGUGUGGCUACUGGACACUUAACAUGUGAUCGGCUUAUGUGAGGAGCUGAACAUUAAUAUUACUGAAAUCUACAGCUAGCUUUGAAUAGUCACGCACGGGCAGAAUAGAGGGCGAUCAGCCAGUGAUCUCAGUGAUCUUAAUCGGAGAAGGAGUCCCCUCCCUCAGGCCUAAGCUGUCUCUGGUCACUGACCCUGCAGAAGUCUACAAGCCUUUAAGUAUCAUCGCUGAAAUAAAGGAUUGAUAGAUGCCCA